This 428-nucleotide ribosomal RNA is filed under the name uncultured prokaryote. Its description in RNAcentral is "bacterial SSU rRNA". It matches the Rfam family "Bacterial small subunit ribosomal RNA", at positions 355 to 774 of the family's 1533-position model. The record is from RNAcentral.
UGGGGAAUAUUGGACAAUGGGCGCAAGCCUGAUCCAGCCAUGCCGCGUGUGUGAAGAAGGCCUUUUGGUUGUAAAGCACUUUAAGCGAGGAGGAGGCUACUUGGAUUAAUACUCUAGGAUAGUGGACGUUACUCGCAGAAUAAGCACCGGCUAACUCUGUGCCAGCAGCCGCGGUAAUACAGAGGGUGCGAGCGUUAAUCGGAUUUACUGGGCGUAAAGCGUGCGUAGGCGGCUUUUUAAGUCGGAUGUGAAAUCCCUGAGCUUAACUUAGGAAUUGCAUUCGAUACUGGGAAGCUAGAGUAUGGGAGAGGAUGGUAGAAUUCCAGGUGUAGCGGUGAAAUGCGUAGAGAUCUGGAGGAAUACCGAUGGCGAAGGCAGCCAUCUGGCCUAAUACUGACGCUGAGGUACGAAAGCAUGGGGAGCAAACA